CGCGUAGGCGGGCUGCCAAGUCUGAGGUGAAAUCUUUCGGCUUAACCGGAAAAUAGCCUUGGAUACUGGCAGUCUUGAGGGUGGUAGGGGCAUGUGGAACUUCCGGUGGAGCGGUGAAAUGCGUUGAUAUCGGAAGGAACGCCGGUGGCGAAAGCGACGUGCUGGACCACUACUGACGCUGAGGCGCGAAAGCCAGGGGAGCAAACGGGAUUAGAUACCCCGGUAGUCCUGGCCCUAAACGAUGGGUACUAGGUUGUGGACUAGACAUGGGUUCACAGCCGAAGCAAAAGUGCUAAGUACCCCGCCUGGGGAGUAUGGUCGCAAGGCUGAA
This 331-nucleotide ribosomal RNA is filed under the name uncultured bacterium. Its description in RNAcentral is "bacterial SSU rRNA". It matches the Rfam family "Bacterial small subunit ribosomal RNA", at positions 568 to 898 of the family's 1533-position model. The record is from RNAcentral.